GCCCGCCUAGCUCAAUUGGUCAGAGCGUCAGACUUUUACGGCGGGGGUUGAUUCCCUUCGGAAUCUGAAGGCUGCGAGUUCGAGCCUCGCGGUGGGCU
This 98-nucleotide transfer RNA is filed under the name Pisolithus microcarpus 441. It matches the Rfam family "tRNA". Rfam says of the family: Transfer RNA (tRNA) molecules are approximately 80 nucleotides in length. The record is from Rfam by way of RNAcentral. Lineage: Eukaryota; Fungi; Basidiomycota; Agaricomycetes; Boletales; Pisolithaceae.